CACGAUUCUUUGCUGAUGAAAAGGAAAUUGCCAUAUUUGGAUCCGACAGCAUUGUAGAGGAGAGAGCUUUCCAACGUGUGUUUCAGUAUCUAUAAGUGAAGAUGGCAACCCCAGUUAUCCGCAUCGUCAACCCAGAGGCCCCUGCACACCGUCGACAGGCCGUACCGAUGGCGACUGAAGAGGCCCGUUGCUGUCUUCCCUAAACCUCCACAGGAGCUGCUCUUCCAGGACAUCGCCCUGACACACGCAGAGAAGCUCCUUCGAGCAGAGGGCAUCCCUGCAGCGUCGUGUCAGCUGUGCCUGGGAAAGCUCCUAGUCCCUUUUGGCCAGUGUGACAAUGCACCCUUCCACUGGCUUGUCGCAAAUGAUGUGGGAUACAUGAAGUACAUGCUUGAGAAGCACCAGUCAGAGGUCCAAACCCACAUCGGAAGGGAGAGGUGGGGAACCAGUGGGGGAAAGACCUCCUCGCUGAAUACACUGAGAGCUCCUCUCACCUUGAAGCCAACAGAAUUUGCACCUGUACAAGUCUGGCUACCACACCUGGGUACACCACAUCUGCGACGUUUCCAGCUGGUACACCAUGCUGGCAGAGGUCCUGUACCAAGGCAGGCAGGAGCAAGGAAGGUGCGACAGUGGGUCGCUGGACUGCGUGGGAUUCCGCUAUUUUAUCACAACUUAGCGAGGCUCACCAAGCUCUGUUCCCUGCCAUCCUCACCAGCGAGUGAGUGUACAAACACCCCUCUCACCCCCUCCAUGCUUGCUGCCGCCUUGGAGUAGAAGGCUGCUUGAGUGCUUGUCUUCAGAAGAUGAAGAGGAAGGGCUCUCACCCUUUCGCCUGCGCUCCUUUAUGAUGGUAGAAUGGUUGGUGCCUCCACUAGACGAAGGUCUCUCACCCCUUUGUUUGGACUUCCUCGAAGAAGAGUCCAUAUCUCCUGAAGACCGAGGUCUUGCAAAGAAUUUUAGUCCAAAAAUGGAUCUAAACAUUUUCUCAAUGAUCUCUCGUUUGUAUACUGCCGUUUCGAAACUGCAAGUACAAACACACACAGCGAUUACUUCAGAAGAUGAAGAGGAAGGGCUCUCAGCCCUGUUUUCUUGCUGCCUCCUCGUGGUAGAACGCUGGUCGUCUUCAGAAGAUGAAGACGAAGGGCUCUCGCCCCUCCAUGCUUGCUGCCGCCUUGGAGUAGAAGGCUAAUUGUCUUCAGAAGAUGAAGACGAAGGGCUCUCAAACCUUCGUAUUUGCUGCCUGGUACAAGGGAACACCGUGAUUAAAGUGUGGCGGCAGCAACAUGAAAAUCAUAACGAGGAGUACCUUCGUCGUAAGGAUCUGUACACCCCACUCCUCGUGACUGUAUCAGAACCCGGAGGGAUUGUCUCUGUAUUUGGACACACCUUCCAGGCUCCACCUCCUCAGAGAGCGCUUCCAUCCGCUGCUCCUGCACCACCCCGUCCUGCUGGCAGAGGCCAACAAUGUGCAGGAUUACCGGAAACCAGAUCCUCUCCACUUUUGGCACUGCGCUGAAAAUGGAUUCCACCAAGAAAGUGGUAAAGAAGCUGUCUGGCGAGGGCAAAGUCUCAGCUGAGUGGUUGACCAGCAUCGGAAAAACGAGCAGUCCCAGAUAGUUUUGUUUGUGCUAACCUGCGAGGAGUCCACCGAGAAGCUGAAACCAACGUGCCGUGGAGUCACGGACAGGAUCCGGCUGGCCAAUCGAGCUGUUCCCAAAAUAUUAUAUGUGGACCGUGGGUGUUGCCCUGCACAGGGACCAACAGGGACGCAGACUUUGUUCCAGCCUUGGGGAGACAGUGGUAUGGUUGUGCGUCUGGACAUCUUCCGCUGGAUCCACCGGUUUGACGCAGCCAUACGCACACUGCAAGUACGCUGUGUUCAGGUCGGCUCUAGCCGAAGAUAUAUUCUGGAGCUAAAAGGUCCCGCUGGGCUGGACCAGAGUGGAGUGAGCCUCUUCAAAACGCCUGGUGUUAAAGACAACGUGCAAAACAGCUAGAAACAGAUAGUGUAGCAUAGGUAAUGACCAUAACACACUGUGUCUCUGUAUGAAUCUGUAUUUCCAGAGGCCAUUGAUGAGAUGGGGGCGAGCCGGCAGCGACACCGGGAGUGCAUCCAGGAUCCACCAGGCCCGAUCACGUACAGGGUGGCGCGUACCACAGACAUCAACAAUGUGGACGUGCCCUUCUACAAAUGUCCACAAAACUCUUCCACACAUGAUUCCAGGUCCCCACUGUGCAGCACGGCCCUAUCAGGGUUACCUGAUGAGUGGCGUUGCACGGUGGAACUCUGACAGGAGCUUGGGUGCCGUGUUUGGAGGCAGAGGACGGCACUGAUCGACCGCCUCAACACCCGCCGUCAGCAGCUAUUCGGAGAGACUGCGGAGCCCCCGCUGAUGUCCCUUCCAACGAGCUGCUGGGGCUAGAGUACCUGUUUGGCCAGAGCACGGGUGAAUCUGGACCCUUUUCCCUUAAGGACAUUGUAAACGAUGGACCUGGUCCAGAGGAGGAGGUGGUUCAGCCCGGGCAGCCCGAUCCGGAGUCGGAUGAGGCGUACCAGAGCGACGUGGAGGCCCGCGAUGAUGCGCUGGAUGUCAUCGUGCCCCACAUAACGCUCACCAGCGACGAAACCUCCACUGUUCACCCUCCAGCCUUUUAAGGAGGCCUGCAGUCCAAAGGCUUCGUCAAAGCUGGAACGGUUCUGCUCUGUGCUGGUGGAGAUCGGCGGGACGGAGGACAAGCUGUCACUAAGCUCAGAGCAGAGGAACCACGUCCUGGACGCCUGGAGCCAAGUGGACGAGCAUGACAAACAACCUUGUUGAUGCUGCUGUAGUACACAUAUGCACAUAUGGCAAUAGAAACAUAAAAGUACCUUUAGGCCUUUGGGUGCUGCUCUGCUGAAGAGUACAUAAACUAUCUGAUAAGAACUCCCAUGAUCCUUUUUUUUUUUUUUUUUUUUUUAUGAGUUUUUCUUUUUCUUGCACACAAAACAAUCCCCUCCCAGCCCGCCCCAUCCCACCUUGACUGGACCAAAUAAGAAAUGAUUAACAAUGCAGACAAUUAUAAAGAAAAUACAUACUUAGACUUGAAACAUAAACAAAUAUGAUUUCCGUGAAGGACGGCACGCCUUCAAAACUCUAUCAUGACACACCAUAGGGGAAUACUAUAGCCAGGUGUUUAUAUAUAGUGUAGCUCGAGUAUGGAGGGGGGGGCAGUCAUUCCUUCAGAGUCGGCCAGGAUGGUCACUCACAACACCGGUAGGGCCUGGAGGUUGCUACAGUAUGACAAUAGAGAUUCCCACACUGAGAGGAAUUUGUUAGAGCCUCUUAUUGUAAAUUCAAUUCAAUUUCAAUUCAAUUUUAUUUAUAGUAUCAAAUCAUAACAAAAGUUAUCUCGAGACA
Molecule: long non-coding RNA, 3401 nt
Organism: Perca flavescens (yellow perch)
Lineage: Eukaryota; Metazoa; Chordata; Actinopteri; Perciformes; Percidae
Exons: 7
Source: RefSeq, a predicted model, not a curated record